RNAcentral lists this ribosomal RNA (439 nucleotides) under uncultured bacterium. RNAcentral describes it as "partial 16S ribosomal RNA". It matches the Rfam family "Bacterial small subunit ribosomal RNA", at positions 338 to 794 of the family's 1533-position model. The record is from RNAcentral.
CCUACGUGUGGCAGCAGUGGGGACUAUUGCACAAUGGGGGAAACCCUGAUGCAGCAACGUCGCGUGAGUGAAGAAGUAUUUCGGUAUGUACAGCUCUAUCUGCAGGGAAGAAGAUGACGGUACCUGAAUAAGAAGCCCCGGCUAACUACGUGCCAGCAGCCGCGGUAAUACGUAGGGGGCAAGCGUUAUCCGGAUUUACUGGGUGUAAAGGGAGCGCAGACGGCAGUGCAAGUCUGGAGUGAAAGGCGGGGGCUCAACCCCCGGACUGCUCUGGAAACUGUACGGCUGGAGUGCAGGAGAGGUAAGUGGAAUUCCUGGUGUAGCGGUGAAAUGCGUAGAUAUUAGGAGGAACACCAGUGGCGAAGGAGGCUUACUGGACUGUAACUGACGUUGAGGCUCGAAAGCGUGGGGAGCAAACAGGAUUAGAUACCCAAGUAGU